Long non-coding RNA from Cloeon dipterum, 389 nucleotides. RefSeq lists it as uncharacterized. The record is from RefSeq and is a predicted model, not a curated record. The transcript has 3 exons. NCBI's taxonomy places the organism in Eukaryota, Metazoa, Arthropoda, Insecta, Ephemeroptera, Baetidae.
GUUUCGUUGAUAUCCUAUUCGAUGUGCGGUAAAAAGUUAGUUUUCGCAAACGUAGCAAUUCCGACUGACUUCGACACGACAGGGAUGAUUUGCGGCAUAAUUUGGCCGAUGUCGAAACACUGGCUUCCGAAGGACUGGGACGAUGUGCGCUGCGUCAUCGAAUCCCUGCCGGAGGAAAUUCAACGAGUGGGAAAAUUGCGAUUGGUUGCGUACCGAAGCAACUGCAGCAAGGAAUUCUUCUUCUGCUCCACCGACACCCCGCGCUCGUUGCGAAAAUCGUUUCUUUUCGAGGAGCUCAAUAAUCUAACACCACUGGCAACAAACAACGGCACGUGCGCCAUUUUUGAUUACAAAAUAAAAAAUAAGAAAGCUGUGGACGUCAAGCUCAG